RNAcentral lists this unclassified non-coding RNA (427 nucleotides) under Maireana pentatropis. RNAcentral describes it as "partial external transcribed spacer". Lineage: Eukaryota; Viridiplantae; Streptophyta; Magnoliopsida; Caryophyllales; Amaranthaceae. The record is from RNAcentral.
UGACUACUGGCAGGAUCAACCAGGUAGCACUCCUCGAUCGACAUCAGCACGCAUGAGCCCAUCCGAAUCACGAAAGGGUCAACUCGUGCUUAAUUGUCGUCCGUGCUUAGCGUAAAACGCUACAUUGGGUGUGCAACGCAUUCACGUCCACUCCCACUAAACAUUCUGCAUCCCGGGGCACAACCAAGGACCAUUACCCUUUCUGAAGUGCUUAAUUUAGCAUAUUCAGUGGCUAACGGACUUGAUUUUGUAGGUUCACCGGACACCCCGCUAAGGAUGUAGGGCGAAGAACAUAACUUCAAGGCAACCGAUACCAUCAAUAGGAAUUCAACACAGGAAACCACAUGUUGCCCAAGGCUUAAUUGCACUUGAGCAAACAAUGAAUAGGCAUGCUAGUGAACGGUUCAGUGCAAAAGUAAAGAGCCUG